Gasterosteus aculeatus aculeatus (three-spined stickleback) is the source of this 2122-nucleotide long non-coding RNA. NCBI's taxonomy places the organism in Eukaryota, Metazoa, Chordata, Actinopteri, Perciformes, Gasterosteidae. The record is from Ensembl.
GUGUGUGUGUGUGAUGGAUCCCUACAAAGAGUGUUUACGUUAGAGAUGCAGCAAUUAGAACAAAGCCAACACCCCCUUUAAGCACCGUGACACAUAACACAGACGUGUAUGGAAAUAGAAUUUUUAUAAAUAUGUAUGCUGUUUUCCCUCCGUCAUUCAGGGGGGAGCAUUAUGUCUCCGCAGAUGUCAAUGAGGCCUGACCGGAGGUGGACACAUGGGCUUUGACGCCUGGUUUCAGGUAAUAUCACAUUGAAUGGAUGCAGCACAGCACGUCUUUUGUCUCUAUGUUGGUCACGUACGUGCCUGUUUUUAGGGAGAAAACUUGAUUCCAGAUAAACAACCCUUUUCUCAAACUGAUUUCAUUGUUGGUACAUUACAAAACAUUGAGUUACAAACUGAUAUUAAAGAGUUGAGACUAGAUCUUUUAAAAAUAGUUGAAGAGUAUGAGGGUCUGAUGGUGGUAGAUUUCUUUGUUCUUAUUUACAAGUUGACUUUAGGGCUGCGACUAAUAACUAUUUUUAGUUGCUAGUUACACACCGGUAAAGUUUCAGUUGGAUCCAAUCUGCAACCUCAACCACCAGAUGCCUCGAAGUCUUACAAACUAGACCUUCAAUGGCGGCUCACCUGUGUUUGAUCCAGGGAAUCCGUGCUCAAAUCUGCAGGUCUGCACUUUGAAGAUAAUACAUCUUGUCAGAAGAUUUAACAAGUGCAGGACUGACUGUGAGAGACGGCGAGGAUGAAAGAAAGCCUGCAGCACACCUCCUUUCUGCUGUGAGGGGAUUUGAAUUCUCUGCCAGCUCCAAUUCCACCCUAGACUUCCCUCGGACUGGCAGGCGGGCGUGCGUUUUGAACAUGGAUGUUUGCGUUAGCUAACGUUUUCAUGACUCACCUUCGAGCAUUGACUCGUCGUUCAUAUUUUGAAAAAUAUCUCAACUGACGCAAGAUUUUCUACACCGAGUUGAGGGGAACUUACACUUUUCCAUCCGAUGUCCCUCUCAAAUACAAGUGUAACUCCAGCUAUAGUGAGAAUACUGAUAAAGACGUUGCUUACAAGCCAAACUGUUUUAUGUAUCAUAAAGCAUGACCUAAAAUCACUUAAACCUAAAUCCACCUCGGCCAGCUACGUCAACAUCCUGCAGUAACAAUGUUCCAAUCAUGUAGCAACGUGUAUUGUCAGAUAAUCCUUCCCGAUGAGAGGCUUAUGUCCAUGUCCUUAUUCCCCGCUGGGCAUUUCACCAUCAAAGCCUCUUGUACAAUUUUAAGACCUUUCCCUUUUCCAUUUCACAUUAUUAGUGAUGUCGAGGAUACACAGAAAACUGUUAACACAGGCACUGGGCGAUGGAGUGCACGCUUAUUUUCAUUAUGAAAUUCAUUUAAGGCAAUGCAAUAACAAGCAGACCACAGAAAUUGUGUUUUACAGCACUGACGAGUUAGCCCCUUGCUAAUAAGUGGACCACAAAGGCAAUGGAUUUUAUCUUUAGAUGGACAGUUUUCUGUAGAUAUGUUCCCCUCCUGUAGAAUGGAGGCAGAUAUAUAUCACAGAUUGAUGUGUGAUUAUGUAAAACCCGUUGAACCUAACAGGAAAGAGACAUAUUUUGGUCAAUGUUGACAAAAGAAAAAUGGGCCACUGACUUUACGGAGGGAUUUGCACGGCAUUAGAAAAUAAAAGAUGUUUUUGCACAUUCACCCUUGAAGGCGUCAAUCCAGGUCAUGUAGCAACUCAAAUGUGAGGCUCUCUGUCUUUCAUCCGUCUAUUUCACAGAUGAGUUCACGGUUUCAUUAUCAGCUGCUCUUUGGUGCCUGUGCUACACCAACCAGCUCAGACAAACAUCACCUGUCGCGUAUCGAUCAAUUCCUCCUCUAUGCUGCAGUGGGGAAUAAAUUCAUUCUACCUGACACCAGGUGGAUCAUUUUGUGAUUCAAACACAUCGUGUGGUGGAUUUUCCGUUAAAGUUAUACAGUAAUACAAAUUUUUAAAACAACGUGAAUUGACUAGUUGGAGAUAAAUGCCCUGCCGUUGCUCAACUAAACAUCAUGAACCACAACAUUGUGAAAAUGUGUUCUUUGUUGGAGACAAUGGUGAAUGUUUCCUGAAGAAGACUAAAUAAAAAAUUUAAAUAAA